Molecule: ribosomal RNA, 312 nt
Filed under: Acidobacteriota bacterium
Lineage: Bacteria; Pseudomonadati; Acidobacteriota
Description: bacterial LSU rRNA
Rfam family: Bacterial large subunit ribosomal RNA
Source: RNAcentral
GAGACAGUUCGGUCCCUAUCUGGUGUGGGCGCAGGAGAAUUGAAGGGAGUUGUCCCUAGUACGAGAGGACCGGGAUGAACAGACCUCUUGUGUACGAGCUGUCCCGCCAGGGGCAUCGCUCGGUAGCGAAGUCUGGAAGAGAUAAUUGCUGAAUGCAUCUAAGCAAGAAGCUCGCCCUAAGAUAAGUUCUCCCAAGGUUUAUGACCUAAGAAGGGCAGUCGAAGACUACGACUUUGAUAGGCUGGAGGUGGAAGCACAGCAAUGUGUGAAGCUGACCAGUACUAAUCGCCCGUUCGGCUUAAUCAUAAAACU